Molecule: ribosomal RNA, 496 nt
Filed under: uncultured bacterium
Lineage: Bacteria
Description: partial 16S ribosomal RNA
Rfam family: Bacterial small subunit ribosomal RNA
Source: RNAcentral
GAUGAACGCUGGCGGCGUGCCUAAUACAUGCAAGUCGAGCGAACAGACGAGGAGCUUGCUCCUCUGACGUUAGCGGCGGACGGGUGAGUAACACGUGGAUAACCUACCUAUAAGACUGGGAUAACUUCGGGAAACCGGAGCUAAUACCGGAUAAUAUAUUGAACCGCAUGGUUCAAUAGUGAAAGACGGUUUUGCUGUCACUUAUAGAUGGAUCCGCGCCGCAUUAGCUAGUUGGUAAGGUAACGGCUUACCAAGGCAACGAUGCGUAGCCGACCUGAAAGGGUGAUCGGCCACACUGGAACUGAGACACGGUCCAGACUCCUACGGGAGGCAGCAGUAGGGAAUCUGCCGCAAUGGGCGAAAGCCUGACGGAGCAACGCCGCGUGAGUGAUGAAGGUCUGCGGAUCGUAAAACUCUGUUAUUAGGGAAGAACAAAUGUGUAAGUAACUAUGCACGUCUUGACGGUACCUAAUCAGAAAGCCACGGCUAACUACGG